AGUGAACGCUGGCGGUAGGCCUAACACAUGCAAGUCGAACGGCAGCACAGUACUAGCUUGCUCUUACGGGUGGCGAGUGGCGGACGGGUGAGGAAUACAUCGGAAUCUACUUUUUCGUGGGGGCUAACGUAGGGAAACUUACGCUAAUACCGCAUACGACCUACGGUGAAAGCAGGGGAUCUUCGGACCUUGCGCGAUUCAAUGAGCCGAUGUCGGAUUAGCUAGUUGGCGGGGUAAAGGACCACCAAGGCGACGAUCCGUAGCUGGUCUGAGAGGAUGAUCAGCCACACUGGAACUGAGACACGGUCCAGACUCCUACGGGAGGCAGCAGUGGGGAAUAUUGGACAAUGGGCGAAAGCCUGAUCCAGCCAUACCGCGUGAGUGAAGAAGGCCUUCGGGUUGUAAAGCCCUUUUAUUGGGAAAGAAAAGCAGCAGGUUAAUACCUCGCUGUUUUGACGUUACCCAAAGAAUAAGCACCGGCUAACUUCGUG
This 491-nucleotide ribosomal RNA is filed under the name uncultured bacterium. RNAcentral describes it as "partial 16S ribosomal RNA". It matches the Rfam family "Bacterial small subunit ribosomal RNA", at positions 29 to 507 of the family's 1533-position model. The record is from RNAcentral.